This 235-nucleotide long non-coding RNA is filed under the name Capsicum annuum. Its description in RNAcentral is "long non-coding RNA (CANN_LNC013876)". Lineage: Eukaryota; Viridiplantae; Streptophyta; Magnoliopsida; Solanales; Solanaceae. The record is from RNAcentral.
CCUAUUCUUAAUACGGGUCCAUAUAGGCCAUAGCUAUUUCUUUGGGAUUUAGCAUAUCUCCAUUAUUAUCACUGCUUCCUAUGGAAGAAGCUUCUUCUAGAAGCUUUAAGACUUCUUCUUCAUUAGUUUCCUGGCUUUCCAUAUCGUGCAAAGCCUUCUUCAAUUUUUCCUUUAGUGCCUUCUUAUUUUGUGAAGCAUUGUUUGGAGGUGAAACUGGUGAAGUUGUCUUUCCUUU